GGUUGAUAAUAAAAGAUCUGUAGCAGGUCCGGAGACGUAGGCAACAUUGGCCGAACUCCGUUAACAAUAUUGUGUGUUUUCCCGCUCCCAUAAAUUCGGGUUUCCGCAAAAUUUGACCGCGCAUUUCCUAACAACUGGUAUCAGAGCUUGAGUUACGGUGAUCGGUCAAAUUUUUUGCGGAGUUACUAUCACGUGAACAGUAAUUCGUGAAUAGUGAAUUUUGUCGGUAACAUUGGUUUGUCGACAAAGGUGUUCUAAUACACGGUGGUUCCAAAAACGAUGGGAGUAGAAGACGGUUCAGCGUACAGUAUCGGAAAAUUUUACGGUACCAAUUAUGCAUUUUGGAGAAUGCAAAUUGAAGAUUAUCUGUACGGAAAGAAGCUUCAUCAACCGCUGAACAAGAAGCCUGAGAAGAUGGAUCAGGAUGAGUGGGAGCUGCUUGACAGACAAGUUCUGGGUGUUAUAAGGUUAACAUUGUCGAAAAACGUUGCUCACAACGUUGCGAAGGAGAAGACCACAGAAGGACUCAUGAAAGUUCUCUCAGAUAUGUAUGAGAAACCUUCGACAAACAAUAAGGUGUUUCUCAUGAAGAAACUCUUUCAUUUAAAGAUGGAAGAAGGUGGCCUGGUCACCGCACAUGUGAACGAGUUCAACACAAUUGUCAACCAACUAUCAUCGGUUGAAAUCGAGUUUGAUGAUGAAGUACGAGCACUGAUUUUGUUGGCAUCUCUGCCAAAUAGUUGGGAGCCAAUGAGGGCAGCAGUUAGUAAUUCUGUGGGUACUCAGAAACUUAAAUUUAAUGAUGUUAGAGAUCAUAUCCUUGCUGAGGAAGUUCGAAGGAUAGACUCUGGGGAGGCAUCAACGAGUUAUGCUUUCAACGUGGAAAACAGAGGGAGAAACCCAGAUGGAAAUAACCGGAGUAAUGGCAGAUCGAAGUCAAGGAAUAGACGGGGUCAGUCCAAAUUCAGACAGCCUGCAGAGUGCUGGAAUUGUGGAAAGACAGGUCACAUUAAGAAGAAUUACCGAGCACCACCGAAGAAGGAAGACAACAAGAGAGCCGAAGCCAAUGCAGUGACACGUGAAAUCGCUGAUGCAUUGGUAGUGUCUGUUGAUUCUCCGAGAAAAAUUGAAGCUCAUGAUGGAACUGCAAAUACCACCAAAGCAUCAAUCUCCUAUGUCGAUAGCCCAGUCGAUUCAUGGGUGCUUGACUCAGGAGCGUCGUUCCACACCACACCGCACCAUAACAUCAUGGAAAAUUAAGUUGCGGGAAAUUACGGAAAGGUAUAUCUUGCUGAUGGAUUACCUUUGGACAUAGUUGGUAUUGGAGAUAUCAACUUGAAGAUGUCAGACGGACGUGUGUGGAAGAAUACGAAGGUCAGACAUGUGCCAAAGUUGAUGUGAAAUCUGAUCUUUGUAGGUCAACUUGAUGAUACGGGGCACGAUGUUAAUUUUGGUGGUGGAGCCUGGAGAGUCAAGAAAGGUUCCAUGGUGGUGGCUAGAGGUCAUAAAAGAGGCACUCUUUAUAUGACGACGAGUUAUCAAAACAUUGUUGUUGUUGUCGAGAAUGCCAAACAUACCAAGUUGUGGCAUUGUAGGUUGGGGCACAUGAGUGAGAAAGGGAUGAAACUCAUGGUGGAAAAUGGCGCUAUUCCGGAUCUGAAGACGGUGGAUCAUCAGAUGUGUGAAAGUUGCAUCCUUGGAAAACAGAAACGGGUUAGUUUCUCUAAAGGAGGAAGAGAGCCAAAAUCUGAGAAGUUAAAGCUGAUGCACAUUAACGUGUGGGGACCCGCUCUGUUGCAUCUCUGGGAGGUUCAUACUACUAUGUGACCAUUAUUGAUGACUUCACAAGAAAGGUGUGGGUUUACUUCAUGAAGAACGAGCAUGAAGUAUUUUCGGUUUUCAAAAGAUGGAAAGCCAUGGUUGAGACUGAGACGAAUCUCAAGUUGAAGUGUUUAAGGUCUGAUAAUGGUGAAGAGUACAUCAGCGACGAGUUCAAGAGAUAUUGUGCUGAUAAUGGGAUCAAGAUGGAGAAGACUAUUCCUGGAACGCCUCAACAUAAUGGAAUAGCGGAAAGGCUGAACCGAACCUUGAAUGAGUGUGCAAGGAGCAUGAUAUUGCACUGUGGAUUGCCAAAGACGUUUUGGGCAGAUGCAAUCAAUACCGCAGUCUUUUUAAUAAACAGAGGACCGUCUGUACCGUUGGGAUUUAAAAUCCCUGAAGAAGUUUGGAGCGGAAAGAAAGUAAAUCUUUCUUAUCUAAAGGUGUUCGGAUGCUUAGCUUAUGUUCAUAUUGAUGAUGCUGCAAGAAGUAAACUUGACUCGAAGUCUAAGAAGUGUUACUUCAUCGGCUAUGGUAACGUGGAGUUUGGUUACCGGUUUUGGGAUGAUGAAAAUCGGAAGAUCAUCCGCAGCAAGAAUGUUGUGUUCAACGAAGAAGCGUUGUACAAGGAUAAGCUAAGAGAAGGCUCGGAGAGAAAAAAGCUUGGAGCUGUUGACUUAGAAGAUAUCCUGACACCGGAGUUUGCCACAGGAUACCACAACAGCAGAAGAAGAAAUUUCUCAAGACGAGAGUGGUGAGGCUGAAGAAAGUGAUGAUUCUGAAGUGGUCCCACAUAUACCAGUGACGGAGUUACGACGGUCAAGCAGAAUCAUCAGAAAGCCUGUAAGAUUUUCUCCAUCGCUCAACUACAUUCUGCUCACACACAGAGGCGAGCCUGAAUGUUAUGAGGAAGCUAUGCAAGUUGAUGAGUCGAUCAAGUGGGAGCUUGCAAUGAACGACGAGAUGGACUCGUUGUUAUCCAAUCACACGUUGGAGUUAUCAGAUUUGCCUAAGGAGAAAAAGGCAUUGCAUAACAAGUGGGUCUACCGAAUAAAAGAAGAACCUGAUGGGAGUAAGCGCUAUAAAACGAGGCUUGUUGUGAAGGGAUUCCAACAAAAAGAAGGCGUUAACUACACUGAAAUCUUCUCUCAUGUAGUCAAGAUGGUGACCAUCAGAACGGUUCUUGGGCUGGUAGCACAAGAAGAUCUGCAUCUUCAACAAAUGGAUGUGAAGACGGCAUUUCUUCACGGUGAUUUGGAUGAAGAAAUUUAUAUGAAGCAACCCGAAGGCUUUGAGAUCAAAGGGAAGGAAAGCCUUGUUUGCAAACUGAAAAAGAGUUUGUACGGCUUAAAACAAGCUCCAAGACAGUGGUAUAAACGGUUCGACAGCUUUUUUAAAGGCGUUGGUUUCUUGAGGUGUGAAGCUGAUCACUGUUGUUACUUCAAGACACUUGAAGAGUCCUACUUGAUAUUGCUUCUAUAUAUCGAUGACAUGCUGAUAGUAGGAGCAGACUUGCACGAGAUCAAUAGCUUGAAGACGAAACUCUCAGAAGAGUUUGCGAUGAAAGACCUUGGAGAAGCAAGACAGAUUCUAGGGAUGAGAAUCAGUAGAAGCAAAGAAGGUCUUAAGCUAUCACAAGAGGAGUAUGUGAAGAAAGUCCUUAAGAGGUUUAACAUGGAUGACGCGAAGCAAGUUACUACUCCGCUGGCAAGUCACUUUCGGUUAUCCAGAGAACAGUCUCCAAAGACGGAAGAAGAGAUGGGAUAUAUGGAUAAAGUUCCAUAUGCUUCUACUAUAGGUAGCCUAAUGUACGCGAUGAUAUGUACAAGGCUAGACAUUGCACAUGCAGUGGGAGUCGUCAGCAGAUUUAUGAGCAAUCCAGGAAAGGAACAUUGGGAAGCCGUUAAGUGGAUUUGCAGAUAUCUAAAAGGAAAUCCAAGUUUAUCGCUAUGUUUCACAAAGUCUAAGACGGGAUUGCAGGGAUAUGCUGAUGCUGACAAUGGAGGUGACGGUGACAGCACGAAGAGCACAACCGGGUAUGUCUACACUUUUGGUGGUACUGCAAUUUGUUGGGUUUCAAAGUUGCAGAAAAUUGUAUCUCUAUCAAGCUGUGAAGCUGAGUAUGUUGCGGUAACGGAGGCAACAAAAGAGAUGAUGUGGCUACAGUCUUUUCUAGAAGAGCUAGGCCAUGACCAAGGGAAAAGUGUGUUGUAUUGUGAUAGUAAAAUUGCCAUCGAUUUGGCAAAGAAUCCGGGUUACCAUGCUCGGACGAAGCACAUACAUCGCCGGUAUCAUUUCAUCAGAUCAGCGUUCGAAGAUGAAAUGUUGGUGCUUGAGAAGAUCCCAGGAAGCAAGAAUCCGGCAGACAUGUUGACGAAGGUCGUGCCGUAUGAUAAGCUGAGGUUGUGUGCAACCUCAGUUGGCUUGUUGGAGUAACAAGCUGGGGAGACCUGCUACAUUGAUCAAGAUGUGAAGACAGAUUGAAAUCAGUCUUCAAGUGGGAGAUUGUAAGUCAAAGAACACGGCCGGUGAUGACGACAAUGACGGUGAGGGAUGGCAAAGAAGUCAACAAAAGAGGAACUUCAUUUUGUCAAUAAUUGUGACUUUGUGGCUUUCACAUAUCCAAGUUUCUCCUACAAAUACUCAACGUAAGUAGAAGAGAAGAAGCAUCCCAAAACAAGAAAACAAAGUGAGAGAGAACAAGAGAUCGAAGAAGAAGAGAGAGUGCAAGAAAAUUUUUUUUUUUUUUUUUCUCACAAAAAAUUCUUCUUUAAGAAAUUACGAGUAAUUUCUUGAGUGUAUUUGGGAUCGGGUGUGAGUUGAGAGCUUGUAAAAAUUUCCCGGGUUGAUAAUAAAAGAUCUGUAGCAGGUCCAGAGACGUAGGCAACAUUGGCCGAACUCCGUUAACAAUUUUGUGUGUUUUUCGCUCCCAUAAAUUCGGUUUUCGGCAAAAUUUGACCGCGCAUUUCCUAACAAUCACCGCCUCUGCCUGACGGCCGGCCUGAGUAAUCACCUCCACCAUUGUAUUCACCUCUGUAUCCAUAACCACUGCAACCUCUAUUCCGGUAUCCACCCUCACCUUUACCAAAACCUUUACCUCCAUUGUAUCCAGGGGGAGCUACAUCGCGUAAGUAGAGGGCAGUUG
Molecule: long non-coding RNA, 4963 nt
Filed under: Brassica rapa (field mustard)
Lineage: Eukaryota; Viridiplantae; Streptophyta; Magnoliopsida; Brassicales; Brassicaceae
Description: long non-coding RNA (BRAP_LNC002750)
Source: RNAcentral